This 434-nucleotide ribosomal RNA is filed under the name uncultured bacterium. Its description in RNAcentral is "partial 16S ribosomal RNA". It matches the Rfam family "Bacterial small subunit ribosomal RNA", at positions 29 to 507 of the family's 1533-position model. The record is from RNAcentral.
AGCGAACGCUGGCGGCAGGCCUAACACAUGCAAGUCGAACGAACCUUUCGGGGUUAGUGGCGGACGGGUGAGUAACACGUGGGAACGUGCCUUUAGGUUCGGAAUAACUCAUGGAAACUUGUGCUAAUACCGAAUGUGCCCUUCGGGGGAAAGAUUUAUCGCCUUUAGAGCGGCCCGCGUCUGUUUAGCUAGUUGGUUGAGGUAAUGGCUCACCAAGGCGACGAUCAGUAGCUGGUCUGAGAGGAUGAUCAGCCACAUUGGUACUGAGACACGGCCCAAAAUCCUACGGGAGGCAGCAGUGGGGAAUCUUGCGCAAUGGGCGAAAGCCUGACGCAGCCAUGCCGCGUGAAUGAUGAAGGUCUUAGGAUUGUAAAAUUCUUUAACCGGGGACGAUAAUGACGGUACCCGGAGAAGAAGCCCCGGCUAACUUCGUG